RNAcentral lists this long non-coding RNA (459 nucleotides) under Nicotiana benthamiana. Its description in RNAcentral is "long non-coding RNA (NBEN_LNC016499)". The record is from RNAcentral. Lineage: Eukaryota; Viridiplantae; Streptophyta; Magnoliopsida; Solanales; Solanaceae.
CUGCAUUAACACUCACAAUACCGUUACGGCAUCACCCAUCGUACAUUAAUACUCACUAACAAUAUCAUACACGGCAUCAACCUUCGUGCUUUACACUCUUCCUCGUCCAAACAAAUGAAAUGAUAACAUCUGGCAAGGGAAUCAAUAAUAGAAACAUCAAUAGAAACAAUAUCGUCCCGUCACGCCUGCAGUCUUCUCGUUAAUGAUGUUGCACAUCACAUUUUGUGUUAGAGUCAAAAGAAUCACACCAAGAUCUUGGCGAUCUAAUAGAUCCCAAUCCGUUUUGGCCAUAUUCUCUAGUUUUACCCCGGUCACAGGUAAGUUUAAUUUUUUCUCGUAUAAAUAAUCCUCUAUUUGUAUUUUUCAGAAUCUAAAAUCAUUGCCAUAGAAUUUUUCAAUCUUCACUUUUCCUUCUUCCAACAUCAUUUUGAACACACAAAAAUUGUGUAUUAGUGCUUA